UGGGGAAUAUUGGACAAUGGGCGAAAGCCUGAUCCAGCCAUGCCGCGUGUGUGAAGAAGGUCUUCGGAUUGUAAAGCACUUUAAGUUGGGAGGAAGGGCAGUAAGCGAAUACCUUGCUGUUUUGACGUUACCGACAGAAUAAGCACCGGCUAACUCUGUGCCAGCAGCCGCGGUAAUACAGAGGGUGCAAGCGUUAAUCGGAAUUACUGGGCGUAAAGCGCGCGUAGGUGGUUCGUUAAGUUGAAUGUGAAAGCCCCGGGCUCAACCUGGGAACUGCAUCCAAAACUGGCGAGCUAGAGGAGGGCAGAGGGUGGUGGAAUUUCCUGUGUAGCGGUGAAAUGCGUAGAUAUAGGAAAGAACACCAGUGGCGAAGGCGACCACCUGGGCUCAUACUGACACUGAGGUGCGAAAGCGUGGGGAGCAAACAGG
RNAcentral lists this ribosomal RNA (429 nucleotides) under Pseudomonadota bacterium. RNAcentral's name for it is "Proteobacteria bacterium partial 16S ribosomal RNA". It matches the Rfam family "Bacterial small subunit ribosomal RNA", at positions 355 to 776 of the family's 1533-position model. Lineage: Bacteria; Pseudomonadati; Pseudomonadota. The record is from RNAcentral.